CCUACGGGAGGCUGCAGUAGGGAAUCUUCCACAAUGGGCGAAAGCCUGAUGGAGCAACGCCGCGUGGGUGAAGAAGGUCUUCGGAUCGUAAAACCCUGUUGUUAGAGAAGAAAGUGCGUGAGAGUAACUGUCCACGUUUCGACGGUAUCUAACCAGAAAGCCACGGCUAACUACGUGCCAGCAGCCGCGGUAAUACGUAGGUGGCAAGCGUUAUCCGGAUUUAUUUGGCGUAAAGGGAACGCAGGCGGUCUUUUAAGUCUGAUGUGAAAGCCGUCGGCUUAACCGGAGUAGUGCAUUGGAAACUGGGAGACUUGAGUGCAGAAGAGGAGAGUGGAACUCCAUGUGUAGCGGUGAAAUGCGUAGAUAUAUGGAAGAACACCAGUGGCGAAAGCGGCUCUCUGGUCUGUAACUGACGCUGAGGUUCGAAAGCGUGGGUAGCAAACAGGAUUAGAUACCCCAGUAGUC
This 465-nucleotide ribosomal RNA is filed under the name uncultured bacterium. RNAcentral describes it as "partial 16S ribosomal RNA". It matches the Rfam family "Bacterial small subunit ribosomal RNA", at positions 338 to 795 of the family's 1533-position model. The record is from RNAcentral.